CGCUCCGAGGCGUGUAAAAGCGGGGCGGCGGGGCCGGGGAGCAGCGAGCGAGCAGCCCGGGCUGUGCUGCGGAGCAGGUUGCACCAGUUGACGGGAUCGCUGCACAAACCAGCAAAACGUCGUCCGAAAUGGCAGCCGAGGGGGAUAAAAUGUUGGGAGGAAGACUCAGUGCAAGCACAGAUCCAGUCAUGGAGAUGUUCA
Molecule: long non-coding RNA, 201 nt
Organism: Pygoscelis adeliae (Adelie penguin)
Lineage: Eukaryota; Metazoa; Chordata; Aves; Sphenisciformes; Spheniscidae
Exons: 3
Source: RefSeq, a predicted model, not a curated record